RNAcentral lists this non-coding RNA (22 nucleotides) under Arabidopsis thaliana (thale cress). Lineage: Eukaryota; Viridiplantae; Streptophyta; Magnoliopsida; Brassicales; Brassicaceae. The record is from RNAcentral.
UGGUGUACCCUAUGCAAUUUGU